Molecule: long non-coding RNA, 269 nt
Organism: Sphaeramia orbicularis (orbiculate cardinalfish)
Lineage: Eukaryota; Metazoa; Chordata; Actinopteri; Kurtiformes; Apogonidae
Exons: 3
Source: RefSeq, a predicted model, not a curated record
AGAAAUGGGCGGAGGACUUCCAACAUUCAUCCAAAGUGACCCUGACAGUUGGCAAAACCCAUCCUAUAACUGAGGAGACAGUUCAGCGCAACAGCUACGACAGUUGACAUGAGAUGCCAUCACAACACAAAGCAGACGGGUCGAACUAAAAAGAACACCAACUGUCCUGCUGGACUCCACCUUGUGCUGAAAAAGCAAAGCCACGGUCAGAACAGGAAGUCCAUAUCUACUGAUAGUCAUAUUCAGGACGGGUUAUUGUUGCAUGACCA